UGUCUAUGCCAUACCACCCUGAAUGUGCCCAAUCUUGUCUGAUCUCAGAAGCUAAGCAGGGUUAGAACUUGGAUGGGAGACUACAUUUCUGCCUUCUGACUCAUAGAAAU
Molecule: ribosomal RNA, 110 nt
Filed under: Cebus imitator (Panamanian white-faced capuchin)
Lineage: Eukaryota; Metazoa; Chordata; Mammalia; Primates; Cebidae
Source: RNAcentral